ACAAACACGAUGACGGAGAGAGUACGCAUUGCUUUUCUUUUACAGAGAAAUUCCGGUGGCUGAGAGGAAUGAAGAAAACUUUGAGGAAGAUGGCUCCUGAGAGGUGCACCGAACCUGUAAUUUAGUAAAAUCAGGUAAGGCUGCAACAGGUUCCGCCUGUUAUAGCGGGAGAGGUGUGAAAGCACCCAUUAAGGUCUUGGCUGUGAGGCUAAGAUAAAAAGAAGUGGUAACACGGGUAUAUAGCUCGUCUUCUUU
RNAcentral lists this non-coding RNA (255 nucleotides) under Bacillota bacterium. Its description in RNAcentral is "Firmicutes bacterium T-box sequence". It matches the Rfam family "T-box leader". Rfam says of the family: Uncharged tRNA acts as the effector for transcription antitermination of genes in the T-box leader family. T-boxes are found upstream of many aminoacyl-tRNA synthetase genes and some amino acid biosynthetic genes usually in Gram-positive bacteria. The record is from RNAcentral. Lineage: Bacteria; Bacillati; Bacillota.